GACGAACGCUGGCGGCGUGCUUAACACAUGCAAGUCGAACGGAAAGGCCCUGCUUUUGUGGGGUGCUCGAGUGGCGAACGGGUGAGUAACACGUGAGUAACCUGCCCUUGACUUUGGGAUAACUUCAGGAAACUGGGGCUAAUACCGGAUAGGAGCUCCUGCUGCAUGGUGGGGGUUGGAAAGUUUCGGCGGUUGGGGAUGGACUCGCGGCUUAUCAGCUUGUUGGUGGGGUAGUGGCUUACCAAGGCUUUGACGGGUAGCCGGCCUGAGAGGGUGACCGGCCACAUUGGGACUGAGAUACGGCCCAGACUCCUACGGGAGGCAGCAGUGGGGAAUAUUGCACAAUGGGCGGAAGCCUGAUGCAGCAACGCCGCGUGCGGGAUGACGGCCUUCGGGUUGUAAACCGCUUUCGCCUGUGACGAAGCGUGAGUGACGGUAAUGGGUAAAGAAGCACCGGCUAACUACGUGCCAGCAGCCGCGGUGAUACGUAGGGUGCGAGCGUUGUCCGGAUUUAUUGGGCGUAAAGGGCUCGUAGGUGGUUGAUCGCGUCGGAAGUGUAAUCUUGGGGCUUAACCCUGAGCGUGCUUUCGAUACGGGUUGACUUGAGGAAGGUAGGGGAGAAUGGAAUUCCCUGGUGGGGCGGUGGAAUGCGCAGAUAUCAGGAGGAACACCAGUGGCGAAGGCGGUUCUCUGGGCCUUUCCUGACGCUGAGGAGCGAAAGCGUGGGGAGCGAACAGGCUUAGAUACCCUGGUAGUCCACGCUGUAAACGGUGGGUACUAGGUGUGGGGUCCAUUCCACGGGUUCCGUGCCGUAGCUAACGCUUUAAGUACCCCGCCUGGGGAGUACGGCCGCAAGGCUAAAACUCAAAGGAAUUGACGGGGCCCCGCACAAGCGGCGGAGCAUGCGGAUUAAUUCGAUGCAACGCGUAGAACCUUACCUGGGUUUGACAUGGAUCGGGAGUGCUCAGAGAUGGGUGUGCCUCUUUUGGGGUCGGUUCACAGGUGGUGCAUGGCUGUCGUCAGCUCGUGUCGUGAGAUGUUGGGUUAAGUCCCGCAACGAGCGCAACCCUUGUUCACUGUUGCCAGCACGUUAUGGUGGGGACUCAGUGGAGACCGCCGGGGUCAACUCGGAGGAAGGUGGGGAUGACGUCAAGUCAUCAUGCCCCUUAUGUCCAGGGCUUCACGCAUGCUACAAUGGCUGGUACAGAGAGUGGCGAGCCUGUAAGGGUGAGCGAAUCUCGGAAAGCCGGUCUCAGUUCGGAUUGGGGUCUGCAACUCGACCUCAUGAAGUCGGAGUCGCUAAUAAUCGCAGAUCAGCAACGCUGCGGUGAAUAAGUUCCCGGGGCU
Molecule: ribosomal RNA, 1347 nt
Filed under: uncultured bacterium
Lineage: Bacteria
Description: partial 16S ribosomal RNA
Rfam family: Bacterial small subunit ribosomal RNA
Source: RNAcentral